CAAGCCCCACCCAAGAGGUCACUACAAGUUACAUCUCCAUUCCCCAGCCCCAGUUCCAAAAUGGAGCAGGGGGGUAGGGGGCCGUUCAACUAACCUUGCACCAGGGAUGGGUGGGGAAACAACCCCCCCCCGCCCACUCUGGUGGAAAAAGAUAUAAGAAAUUGAUAAAUGUUAAAAGCAGCUCACUGUAGAGGAGCUGUAUCUCCAGAGCCACCUGAACAAAUGAGGCCAAAUUUACAGCACAAAUUCUGCCUCUUCCCCUGGUGUGAUGCAGCAGUUAUCAAGGCAAUCUGCCUGUGCGUGUGCAUGUGAGAGCAGUCUGAAAAAUAGACUGUAGAGAAAGCUCCACUGAACUUUAAUUAUGGAAGUGCCACCACUUCUUUGGACACCAGCUUCAAACACCACAUAAUUCUUCCUCAUUCACUGUCGCACCAUCAUAUUUGUUGUGUUACCCCCAGCCCCUCUGUUCCACCAAUGACGGUAGUUUUGUCCUUGUUGCCUCUUUGUCCAAACUUCUCCCACGGUCAUCUAUGUGCUUCCUUCCAUGCCAUCCCCUACAUGUGGAAUUGCCCACCCCAUACUAAUGUAGAAGAAGGCACCCCUUGUCCUUGAAGUCUUCCCUCUCAAGACCUACCUUUGCUGCAACACUUCCUUACUUAUUACUUGAUUCUUUUAUCAAUAAGACCUCCGAUAAUCACACUCAGUCACAUUUAUUACCAAAGCUUUUUAGUUAAAGAUUAAUCAGCACAAACAUAGAAGGGAAGAGGUUAAAUGCUUUACCACUCCGACUCAGGAGGACAGUUGCAGCAUAGUCUGCUUCAAAAUGUUAACUCACUAUUACCCAUGUAUGCACCUUCUCUGUUACCUUGGACACAAAUUUCCCAAAUCAGUUAGCAUCAUUAUACACCCUAAUUUUUCUCUUCCCAAACACUUUACACUUGCUGUUCAAGGUUACCUGAAAUUUGUAUCUAGUUUUUUGCAACAAUUAUACUAAUCUGGUCAGGGACCUGGAUUCCGGGUUCACCGUUGCUGAUGCUGUGAAUUGGGCACAGAAAUCCUCUAACAUGGUGGUUCUCUCUCAUCAGAGGGAUUCCGUCUCAUGGACUCUCAUCCUCUCCCCCUGCUGGGGUCU
Long non-coding RNA from Chelonia mydas (Green sea turtle), 1132 nucleotides. RefSeq lists it as uncharacterized. The record is from RefSeq and is a predicted model, not a curated record. Lineage: Eukaryota; Metazoa; Chordata; Testudines; Cheloniidae. The transcript is spliced from 2 exons.